This 2418-nucleotide ribosomal RNA is filed under the name Triticum aestivum (bread wheat). RNAcentral describes it as "partial small subunit ribosomal RNA". Lineage: Eukaryota; Viridiplantae; Streptophyta; Magnoliopsida; Poales; Poaceae. The record is from RNAcentral.
AUGUCACUGGUCACUGCCACUUUCAUAGCCCUUGCCUUGUGCUUCGCCCCUGCACCGGGCGCAGCGGCGACACUCUCGGCGCGGCGUCCGCUGCGGGGCAACGACACGCUGGUCUCGGCACAGGGCAAGUUCGAGCUCGGCCUGUUCAGCCCCGCUGGCAGCUCCGACGGCAGGCUCUACCUCGGAAUCUGGUACAAGAACAUCCCCGUCCAGACCGUCGUGUGGGUCGCCAACCGCGUGACUCCCUUGUCUACUGUCGUCUCUGCCGAGCUCCGUGUGUCCCCUGAUGACGGCAACCUCGAGCUCGUUGGUCCCACCAACGCCUCCGCCUCGCCGGUGGUCGUGUGGUCUUCGAACCUGUCGUCGUCGUCGCGCUCUAACACAGCAGAAAUCCGCGACAACGGCAACCUGGUCCUUGUGGACGGCGGCAACUCCUCCAACGUGAUGUGGCAGAGCUUCGACCACCCCACGGACACGCACAUCUCGGGGGCAUGGCUCGGUGAGAACAAGCUCACCGGCGAGUACCAGGCGCUGACAUCGUGGCGGAACGCCCAAGACCCCGCGCCGGGGAUGUUCACCGACACGGUGGACCCCAGUGGCACCAACGAUUUCCUCUUCAUGUGGAACCGGUCCCGUAUGUACUGGCACACCGGCGUCUGGACCGGCCGCAUCUUUGCGGCCACACCGGAGGCGACGAGAAACGACCUCUUCAACCAGACGUAUGUCGAUACGCCGGCAUAUCGGCGCGUCACCAACGUACUCUACAACAACGCGACCAUCACACGCACGGUGCUCGAUCUCACCGGCCAAGCAAAGCUGUACAUCUGGGUGUCCGCGAGCCAGAGUUGGCAACUCUUCUGGACGGCACCCACCGUGCAGUGCGACGUGUACGCGCUUUGUGGCACGUUCGGCAUCUGCGACCCGAGGAGACAGCCGCCAUGCCGGUGCCCCUCCGGGUUUGCUCCGGUGGCUGGGGGGAACUGGUCUCUCAGCGACUGGAGUGGUGGCUGCCACCGGAGCAUACCGCUCACGUGUGCGCGCAACGGUUCGACGACAGACGGGUUCCUAGCGCUGCCGGAAGUGAAGCUCCCCGAAGACUCGCUCGCAGUGGCUGCCGCCCAGAGCAAAGCAGAGUGCAAGUCCACUUGCCAAAAGAACUGCUCUUGCCAGGCCUACGCCUUCUCGGCCAGGGGGUGUGCCCUCUGGCACGGGGAGCGCAAUCUUCAGCAACUCUACAUGGACUCCGGCGUCUCUGGGUCAGACCUCUAUCUCCGGCUUUCAGAAACAGGAUUGUAAGAUCUGCAUGGCGCAGAGAGGAAGAAAUGGAGGAGAACAUUAUGUCUUGUUCUUGCCAUCCCAUUGGCCAGUGUUGCAGCAUUGGGCGCGACGGCCAUACUAGCCUGGAGGAUUCUUCUUGCUCGUACGAGGAGACUCGCUAGUACGACAAACGGGAAUGGUUGCUCAUUGGCCGUGUAUAGUUACGGUGACCUUCGUGCUGCCACGAAGAACUUCUCAGAGCGACUGGGUGGCGGCGGCUUCGGCUCGGUGUACCGCGGUGUCCUGGAGCAGCAAAAGGGAGACAACAGGACCCAUGUCCUGGUGGCGGUCAAGAAGCUGGAAAGCCUUGGACAAGGCGACAAGCAGUUUCGGACGGAGGUGAGCACGCUGGGCUGCAUCCAGCACGUGAACCUCGUCCGGCUCCUCGGCUUUUGCUCGUCCGGGGAGGAGAAGAUGCUCGUCUACGAGUACAUGCCAAGAGGCUCCCUCAACGGCCUCCUCUUUCGCGAUGGUGCGUGCCUGAGCUGGCAUGAUCGGUACUACAUCAUGGUCGGCGUGGCGAGAGGGCUGGCCUACCUGCACCUUGGCUGCCAUGAGUGCAUCAUACACUGUGACAUCAAGCCCGAGAACAUCCUGCUGGAUGAGGAUAUGUCCCCGAGAAUCGCCGAUUUUGGGAUGGCACAGCUGGUUAGGAGGGACUUCAGUCGCGCGUUGACCACGAUGCGGGGCACCAUCGGGUACCUGGCGCCAGAAUGGAUCUCCGGGCAGCCUAUCAGUGCCAAGGCGGAUGUCUACAGUUUUGGGAUGGUGCUCUUCGAGCUCAUCUCUGGACGACGAAACUCUGAGGGGUCCAGUGAGGUGGAGGCGGCAGAGAGCGGGAAUAGUGAUUUGUGGACCUUCUUCCCGGUGUGGGCAACCGGAAAGAUUGUUGAAGGGGAGGUGGACGUCGUGGCUGACCCGCGGCUGCAUGGCCAGGUGAGUCCUGAGGAGCUGGAGCGGGCGUGCAGGGUGGCGUGCUGGUGCAUCCAGGACGAGGAGGCGUCGCGGCCGACCAUGGCGCAGGUCGUGCAGGUGUUGGAGGGCAUGGUCCAUGUCCACGCGCCACCGGUGCCACGAGUGCUACAGCACAUCGUCACAUGA